CACGAGUGUAUGUGGUUAGAACUUUAAAUUACGUUUAGACGUUUAUGAACCGAAAAUAAAGCGUUUUUAAUGGACAUAUUUACUAAUAAAAUAAAUAAAUUGCAAGAUGUGUUUUCUGUUAUUGGUUGCGACAAAAUUAAUUUUCCUCAAAUUGUGCUUGUGGGAACGCAGAAUUCUGGUAAAAGCUCAGUGUUAGAAAGCUUAGUUGGCAAGUCUUUUCUACCUAAGGGGAUUGGAAUGGCUACCAAAGCUCCGUUGGUUUUACAAAGAAUAAGGUACAGUAAUCAAGAUUACGAAGAAUUAUUAAAAAAAACUGGGAAAAAAACAGUUGAUGAAUGGGUUAUAUUUGAUGACAAGCCAAACGAAAUAUUAUUCGAUUUUGAUGCAGUUCACGAUGAAAUCAAAAAAAGAACUAAUCAAAUAACUGGCAACAAUAAAUGUUUAACCCGUGAACAAAUCGUUCUGAAAUUAUACACACGCCACUACAACUUGACGUUUAUUGAUCUACCAGGUAUGAAAACAAUUUCAGAGGAUAAUCAACAACAAGAUCUCGAUCAACAAUACAUUUCUAAAUUAAUAUCACACUACACGGAACAACCUAAUUCUAUAGUAUUGUUUAUCCUAUCGGCUCAUGAAAUUAAUAAUCAUGCUAAUAAUGAAAAUCUUAAAAUUGCGAAUUCUUUUAUAGGAAGAACUAUAGCCGUAGUCACAAAGUUAGAUUUAGUCGAUAGGAGUACAUUAAUAGAUAGUAUAAAUAUAUUGGGUAGGAUACUAAAUACAAGCACACGGAAACCAAGAUAUUAAUAGAAAAAACUCCAUUAAAGAGACUUUGAGGUAUGAAAAACAAUUUUUAAGAGACAAUUAUCCCGAUAUUUAUAAAAAUCAUGGCCACAGAUCAUUGGUCUGCCUCCUGCAGCAGAAAUUAAUUGAUCACAUUAAUGAAACGUACCCAGAAUUACAGAAAAAUUUUUACAGUUUUAGAAGUAAAUUAGUUAAUGAUCUCAGGAUCUUCGAAACGCCAGUCAAUAAGGUUUCAUUUGUUUUGAAACUAUUAAAGGAUAUGUCCAUAUCGUAUUGUGAAACAAUUAAUGGUGAUCAGAAAAAUAUAUCGGAACAGGAAGUGAUUGGUGGAGCUAAAAUCCAAAAUAGAAUAAAUGAUUUUAUUUUUGAAAUUAAUAUUAUUGAUCCAAUAAUUAACACAAGUAACGAAAAAAUAGAUACAAUUUUAAAAAACACAUCAGCGACUAAUGAAAGUUUUUUCAUGAAUGAAAAAACUUUAAAAAUAUUGAUCAGUAGUAAAAUAAAUCUGUUAGUAAACCCAUCAUUAAACUGUGUAAAGUAUGUGUACGAUGAAAUGUUAAAAAUGUUUGAUACCAUCGAUCAAGACAUUUUAGAGAAGUUAGCAAGAUUUCCCCGACUUAAUAAAGAUGUAAGAAAAGUUCAUGAAGAAAUUUUGAACGAAACGUUAGACGAUGUUCAAUAUUUCAUUCAAUCAUUCAUUGAAACGUACCAGGAGAGUAUUGAUUUAUACAACUCUGAUUUCAUUGACAAUGUUUUACAUAAUUAUAUUAAUCCGAAAACGCAAUUGAAGAUUUCAAUUCAUGCUGCAGAACUCAUAUGUAUGACAUAAUGACCAACAUAAGUGAUAAGGAAGAUCUUAAAAUGUUGGGAAAAUAUUACUUCGAACUCAUUUGAAGGAGUGUGCGAGAUUUCGUACCCAAACGCAUUAAACAUAAGAUGUUACAGACAGUUUUGACCACUUAUGAGAAUCGUAUGCACCAGGAAGUGUUCGUGCCAUACAUGACGGAAAAAGCAUUCGACCAUGUUCUAUUUGAAGAUGAAAGCUUAAAAAAGUUAAAAAAGUUAAAGCUUAAAAUGUUUUUUCUAAAGACAAAAGAAAUGUUAAA
This is an RNA transcript of Sipha flava (yellow sugarcane aphid), 1907 nucleotides long. It is a transcript of the gene named dynamin-related protein dnm1-like, with no coding region annotated. NCBI's taxonomy places the organism in Eukaryota, Metazoa, Arthropoda, Insecta, Hemiptera, Aphididae. The transcript has 3 exons. The record is from RefSeq and is a predicted model, not a curated record.